Molecule: non-coding RNA, 489 nt
Organism: Paramuricea clavata
Lineage: Eukaryota; Metazoa; Cnidaria; Anthozoa; Malacalcyonacea; Plexauridae
Source: the annotation of a GenBank genome assembly
CUCUUGUGAAUCUAAAGGAAGUGCUGAUAACUCAGAAUUCACCAGAACAAGACUUCUGGGCUAUGAAAGGAUUUGUGAGAUCAUUAUUGAAAAUGUGCAUUGUUCAUUUAACCCAAUGAGUUGGAUUGCGCCCUAAUGCUCCCAACUUUAAUAUUUUACUAUUUUAUUUUUGAAUGGAAAAACUGAAGUUUUACCAUCAUUGGUUACUACAGAUUUCCCAUGUGGUACUGUAAAUUAGUAAAAAGUGUGAUGUUUUAUACUUACAGUACCAGGCAAAUACCAUUAAAUGGUAAAUAUAAAUUUAAAGUUUAACAUGGUUUUUACCAAUUUGGCAAUAGGAGGAAAUGAGUAAUAACCAUUAGUAUAAUUACAAAGGUGAUUAUCGAAAAUUGUGGCCGCUGAUUGGUCAAGCGACCUCGGAUUAUUACGCGAUAAUCACCUAAGCGUUUUUUUUUUCAAAAUGGCGGCGAGUUGUUUUGCCAAAGUGAC